UGAGGAAUAUUGGUCAAUGGGCGAGAGCCUGAACCAGCCAAGUAGCGUCCAGGAUGACGGCCCUAUGGGUUGUAAACUGCUUUUAUAUGGGAAUAAAGUGAGGGACGUGUCCCUUAUUGCAUGUACCAUAUGAAUAAGGACCGGCUAAUUCCGUGCCAGCAGCCGCGGUAAUACGGAAGGUCCAGGCGUUAUCCGGAUUUAUUGGGUUUAAAGGGAGCGUAGGCUGUUUGUUAAGCGUGUUGUGAAAUGUAAGAGCUCAACUUUUAGAUUGCAGCGCGAACUGGCAGACUUGAGUGCGCACAACGUAGGCGGAAUUCAUGGUGUAGCGGUGAAAUGCUUAGAUAUCAUGACGAACUCCGAUUGCGAAGGCAGCUUACGGGAGCGCAACUGACGCUAAAGCUCGAAGGUGCGGGUAUCGAACAGG
This 424-nucleotide ribosomal RNA is filed under the name Verrucomicrobiota bacterium. Its description in RNAcentral is "Verrucomicrobia bacterium partial 16S ribosomal RNA". It matches the Rfam family "Bacterial small subunit ribosomal RNA", at positions 355 to 776 of the family's 1533-position model. Lineage: Bacteria; Pseudomonadati; Verrucomicrobiota. The record is from RNAcentral.